UACGUAGGGUGCAAGCGUUGUCCGGAAUUAUUGGGCGUAAAGAGCUCGUAGGCGGUUCGUCGCGUCGGCUGUGAAAUCCCGAGGCUCAACCUCGGGUCUGCAGUCGAUACGGGCGGACUGGAGUUCGGCAGGGGAGACUGGAAUUCCUGGUGUAGCGGUGAAAUGCGCAGAUAUCAGGAAGAAUAUCCGUGGCGAAGGCGGCUCUCUGGUACGGCACUGACGCUGAGACGCGAAAGCGUGGGGAGCGAACAGG
This 253-nucleotide ribosomal RNA is filed under the name uncultured bacterium. Its description in RNAcentral is "partial 16S ribosomal RNA". It matches the Rfam family "Bacterial small subunit ribosomal RNA", at positions 524 to 776 of the family's 1533-position model. The record is from RNAcentral.